Molecule: transfer RNA, 67 nt
Filed under: Elysia viridis
Lineage: Eukaryota; Metazoa; Mollusca; Gastropoda; Plakobranchidae
Description: tRNA-Ile
Source: RNAcentral
GAGCAGCCGCCGGAUGAACGGAUGCCAUUGAUGUUGGCAAAUAGGAGGGGUGUACCCUUGCUGCUUU